AACGCACCUUGCGCCCCUUGGUCAUUCCGAGGGGCAUGCCUGUUUGAGUAUCAUGAACACUUCAACUCUCACGGUUCGCCGUGGUGAGCUUGGACUUUGGGGGUUUUGCUGGCCUUUGCGGUCGGCUCCUCUCAAACGGAUCAGCUUGCCAGCGUUUGGGGGCAUCGUAGGUGUGAUAACUAUCUACGCCUGCGGUCGUCUGCCAUGUAACCUUUGGUAACGGAGGUUCGCUGGGGCUUAUGAAAGCCCGAGGACGGCAUUUUGAACGUUCGAUCUCAAAUCAGGUAGGACUACCCGCUGAACUUAA
This 307-nucleotide unclassified non-coding RNA is filed under the name Thelephora sp. RNAcentral describes it as "partial contains 5.8S ribosomal RNA, internal transcribed spacer 2, and large subunit ribosomal RNA". The record is from RNAcentral. Lineage: Eukaryota; Fungi; Basidiomycota; Agaricomycetes; Thelephorales; Thelephoraceae. RNAcentral also lists the same sequence under 2 other names.